UACGUAGGGCGCAAGCGUUAUCCGGAAUUAUUGGGCGUAAAGAGCUCGUAGGCGGUUUGUCGCGUCUGCCGUGAAAGUCCGGGGCUCAACUCCGGAUCUGCGGUGGGUACGGGCAGACUAGAGUGAUGUAGGGGAGACUGGAAUUCCUGGUGUAGCGGUGAAAAUGCGCAGAUAUCAGGAGGAACACCGAUGGCGAAGGCAGGUCUCUGGGCAUUAACUGACGCUGAGGAGCGAAAAGCAUGGGGAGCGAACAGG
Molecule: ribosomal RNA, 255 nt
Filed under: uncultured bacterium
Lineage: Bacteria
Description: partial 16S ribosomal RNA
Rfam family: Bacterial small subunit ribosomal RNA
Source: RNAcentral